AUGGCAGUGCCAGGAACCCCGGCCACGCUUCUCCUCCCGUUGCAGCCGGCUGGGAAACGAGCCAGGAGCAAGAUGCUCGCCUCUCCCCGCUCACACCCUGCUGCGGGUCUCUGGCCCCGCUGUGCCCCAAACCCCAUCUCCGGUCACCCCAACCCUGCAACCCUGUGUGCUUUGAGAAAGGGGACUGCAAGCAGGAGGCACGGGGUCGUCUCCCACUCCGUGAGGCCAUCCCCAGGGACGUGGCCCCAGACGGAGCCAAGGAAUGUCUUAACUCAGCCAUUUUGGUCCCUCGAGUCCCUCGGGGCAGGAGCUCCUCGCUCCUCCCUCCCUGCGCGCACGCUUCCAGUUAUACCCGUCCCUGCUCAGCCCCAGGACCUCCGCAGCCCAAGGGAGAAGGGGACGAGGAUGUGCUUUGAAAUUUUGGUCCGUGAUGCGAUCCCAAGUCAGUGGUGGCCCCAAAAGCCACCACGGCUGGGGACCAGUGAGAGGUGGGGACGGCGUGGGGGUCUGGGGUGCCAAACCCGUCUCUGCCUCUGCCACUCAGGGCUGGGCCACCGGGGGGGACAGUCCUCAGGAUGCUCCCCAGCACAGUGGCAGGGGGGGAAAAUCUUUCACGCUCGGCCCAGAAGAGGCACAGGGAUGGGGGCUGAUCCUGCUGCCUCCCCAGACCAUCUGCCCAGCGGGUGGAGGGCUCAGGAGGGUCCCAAAAGCCCCGCAGCAGCAAAAGGAAAGCAGGAAGGGUCCGGGUGGAUCUGGGGAACGACCACUGCUGACAGAGGAAGAGGCUGCCCCCGGCACGCGGGGCCCCAAAGGAGAAAUAGGGAGCCACAGGGGGGACACGAGGCCCGGGUGGCGCGGUGCUGCCAGCACGGCCCGGCCCCGUGGCAGCCCCCGGAGCCCUGCGGUUCCCCGGCCCCUGCAGCAGCUCGGCCCCUGCUCGGCCCCGUGGGGCCCGGAGGAAGGGGGGAGCUGGGACAAGGCAGCCAGGCCCCGAGGCAGGAGCAGCGCCCAGGGCUGGCCAGAGCAGCCGCUCUGAAUCCCAAGAAAGACAGAUCUCGUUUACGACUUUAA
RNAcentral lists this long non-coding RNA (1071 nucleotides) under Anser brachyrhynchus (Pink-footed goose). RNAcentral describes it as "lncRNA (ENSABRG00000005453.1)". Lineage: Eukaryota; Metazoa; Chordata; Aves; Anseriformes; Anatidae. The record is from RNAcentral.